Molecule: transfer RNA, 74 nt
Filed under: Candidatus Sulfotelmatobacter sp.
Lineage: Bacteria; Pseudomonadati; Acidobacteriota; Terriglobia; Terriglobales; Candidatus Korobacteraceae
Also listed under: 3 other names
Description: tRNA-Gly
Rfam family: tRNA
About the family: Transfer RNA (tRNA) molecules are approximately 80 nucleotides in length.
Source: RNAcentral
GCGGGUGUGAUGUAAUGGUAGCCUGUGACCUUCCCAAGGUCGACGCGCGGGUUCGAUUCCCGCCACCCGCUCCA